RNAcentral lists this ribosomal RNA (266 nucleotides) under uncultured bacterium. RNAcentral's name for it is "partial 16S ribosomal RNA". It matches the Rfam family "Bacterial small subunit ribosomal RNA", at positions 91 to 354 of the family's 1533-position model. The record is from RNAcentral.
CGUAGUGGCGGGACGGGUGAGUAACGCAUGGUAACCGUGCCUUACACAGGGGAGUAACACCUGGAAACAAGGUGCUAAUACCGCAUAAGCGCACAGGGCCGCAUGGCCCGGUGUGAAAAACUCCGGUGGUGUAAGAUGGACCCGCGUCUGAUUAGCUUGUUGGCGGGGGUAGAGGCCCACCAAGGCGACGAUCAGUAGCCGGCCUGAGAGGGUGGACGGCCACAUUGGGACUGAGACACGGCCCAAACUCCUACGGAAGGCAGCAG